AGCCCUGUGGUGUACCACACGUUAGAUUGCAAAUCUGAAGAAGUAGGCUAAUAGCCUGCCGGGGCUUUC
RNAcentral lists this transfer RNA (69 nucleotides) under Oncorhynchus mykiss (rainbow trout). RNAcentral's name for it is "tRNA-Cys". It matches the Rfam family "tRNA". Rfam says of the family: Transfer RNA (tRNA) molecules are approximately 80 nucleotides in length. The record is from RNAcentral. Lineage: Eukaryota; Metazoa; Chordata; Actinopteri; Salmoniformes; Salmonidae.